RNAcentral lists this ribosomal RNA (1883 nucleotides) under Edwardsiella ictaluri. Its description in RNAcentral is "bacterial LSU rRNA". It matches the Rfam family "Bacterial large subunit ribosomal RNA", at positions 1172 to 2925 of the family's 2925-position model. Lineage: Bacteria; Pseudomonadati; Pseudomonadota; Gammaproteobacteria; Enterobacterales; Hafniaceae. The record is from RNAcentral.
GUAACGGGGCUAAACCAUGCACCGAAGCUGCGGCAGCGAACGUAUCACCCAAGACAACUUUGCGGAGUUGACGAUUGACGGAGCGAAGCGACGUCAAAGCGUUAAUUAAAGUCGAGUUGGCUUAGGGAUACGUUCGUUGGGUAGGGGAGCGUUCUGUAAGCCGUUGAAGGUGGCCUGUGAGGGCUGCUGGAGGUAUCAGAAGUGCGAAUGCUGACAUAAGUAACGAUAAAGCGGGUGAAAAGCCCGCUCGCCGGAAGACCAAGGGUUCCUGUCCAACGUUAAUCGGGGCAGGGUAAGUCGACCCCUAAGGCGAGGCCGAAAGGCGUAGUCGAUGGGAAACAGGUUAAUAUUCCUGUACUUGGUGUUAUUGCGAAGGGGGGACGGAGAAGGCUAGACCGGCCGGGCGACGGUUGUCCCGGUUUAAGCGUGUAGGUGUGAUGACCUGGCAAAUCCGGUUAUCUUUAACACUGAGGCGUGAUGACGAGGCACUACGGUGCUGAAGUGGUUAAUGCCCUGCUUCCAGGAAAAGCCUCUAAGCUCCAGAUAACACUGAAUCGUACCCCAAACCGACACAGGUGGUCAGGUAGAGAAUACCAAGGCGCUUGAGAGAACUCGGGUGAAGGAACUAGGCAAAAUGGUGCCGUAACUUCGGGAGAAGGCACGCUGGCAUGUAGGUGAAGUCCCUCGCGGAUGGAGCCGAAGCCAGUCGAAGAUACCAGCUGGCUGCAACUGUUUAAUAAAAACACAGCACUCUGCAAACACGAAAGUGGACGUAUAGGGUGUGACGCCUGCCCGGUGCUGGAAGGUUAAUUGAUGGGGUCAGCCGCAAGGCGAAGCUCUUGAUCGAAGCCCCAGUAAACGGCGGCCGUAACUAUAACGGUCCUAAGGUAGCGAAAUUCCUUGUCGGGUAAGUUCCGACCUGCACGAAUGGCGUAAUGAUGGCCAGGCUGUCUCCACCCGAGACUCAGUGAAAUUGAACUCGCUGUGAAGAUGCAGUGUACCCGCGGCAAGACGGAAAGACCCCGUGAACCUUUACUAUAGCUUGACACUGAACAUUGAACCUUGAUGUGUAGGAUAGGUGGGAGGCUUUGAAGUGUGGACGCCAGUCUGCAUGGAGCCGACCUUGAAAUACCACCCUUUAAUGUUUGAUGUUCUAACCUGGUCCCGUGAUCCGGGAUAGGGACAGUGUCUGGUGGGUAGUUUGACUGGGGCGGUCUCCUCCCAAAGAGUAACGGAGGAGCACGAAGGUUAGCUAAUCCUGGUCGGACAUCAGGAGGUUAGUGCAAAGGCAUAAGCUAGCUUGACUGCGAGAGUGACGGCUCGAGCAGGUGCGAAAGCAGGUCUUAGUGAUCCGGUGGUUCUGAAUGGAAGGGCCAUCGCUCAACGGAUAAAAGGUACUCCGGGGAUAACAGGCUGAUACCGCCCAAGAGUUCAUAUCGACGGCGGUGUUUGGCACCUCGAUGUCGGCUCAUCACAUCCUGGGGCUGAAGUAGGUCCCAAGGGUAUGGCUGUUCGCCAUUUAAAGUGGUACGCGAGCUGGGUUUAGAACGUCGUGAGACAGUUCGGUCCCUAUCUGCCGUGGGCGUUGGAAGAUUGAGAGGGGCUGCUCCUAGUACGAGAGGACCGGAGUGGACGCACCGCUGGUGUUCGGGUUGUGAUGCCAAUUGCAUUGCCCGGUAGCUACGUGCGGAAAAGAUAAGCGCUGAAAGCAUCUAAGCGCGAAACUUGCCUCGAGAUGAGUCUUCCCUUGGACCUUGAGUCCACUGAAGGAACGUUUAAGACUAAGACGUUGAUAGGCUGGGUGUGUAAGCGUAGCGAUACGUUGAGCUAACCAGUACUAAUGAUCCGAGAGGCUUAACCUUACAACACCGAAGGUGUUUUAG